CGGGGUGUAGCGCAGCCUGGUAGCGCACUUGCUUCGGGAGCAAGGGGCCGGAGGUUCGAAUCCUCUCACCCCGA
Non-coding RNA from Candidatus Muproteobacteria bacterium RBG_16_64_11, 74 nucleotides. Lineage: Bacteria; Pseudomonadati; Pseudomonadota; Candidatus Muproteobacteria. The record is from Rfam.